GCGCCCGACCCGCCUCUGCACCCCCGACUCCCCGUUCGACGCCGGCCUCUGCCCUGCAGCACCCGACGCCCGCCGCCCUCACACGCCAGCCGCCCCCUGUCUCCGAGAGGCCUCCCCGUCUGGCCCCUGCCCCGUCUGGCCCCUGCUCCGCCGUCAGGACUCAGGAGCCCGUCCCGUCCAGCCAGUUCACCACUUGGUGCGGCACCGCCGAUACGCCUCCGUCGCCGGCAUCUCCACGAUUUUCUUUGUCAUGUCUGUAAAUUCAGUUUGGUUCAGG
This 277-nucleotide long non-coding RNA is filed under the name Brachypodium distachyon (stiff brome). RNAcentral describes it as "long non-coding RNA (BDIS_LNC000284)". Lineage: Eukaryota; Viridiplantae; Streptophyta; Magnoliopsida; Poales; Poaceae. The record is from RNAcentral.